This 520-nucleotide ribosomal RNA is filed under the name uncultured bacterium. RNAcentral describes it as "partial 16S ribosomal RNA". It matches the Rfam family "Bacterial small subunit ribosomal RNA", at positions 355 to 864 of the family's 1533-position model. The record is from RNAcentral.
UGGGGAAUAUUGCACAAUGGGCGCAAGCCUGAUGCAGCCAUGCCGCGUGUGUGAAGAAGGCCUUCGGGUUGUAAAGCACUUUCAGCGAGGAGGAAGGUGGUGAACUUAAUACGUCAUCAAUUGACGUUACUCGCAGAAGAAGCACCGGCUAACUCCGUGCCAGCAGCCGCGGUAAUACGGAGGGUGCAAGCGUUAAUCGGAAUUACUGGGCGUAAAGCGCACGCAGGCGGUUUGUUAAGUCAGAUGUGAAAUCCCCGGGCUCAACCUGGGAACUGCAUUUGAAACUGGCAAGCUAGAGUCUCGUAGAGGGGGGUAGAAUUCCAGGUGUAGCGGUGAAAUGCGUAGAGAUCUGGAGGAAUACCGGUGGCGAAGGCGGCCCCCCUGGACGAAGACUGACGCUCAGGUGCGAAAAGCGUGGGGCAGCAAACAGGAUUAGAUACCCUGGUAGUCCACGCUGUAAAACGAUGUCGAUUUGGAGGUUGUGCCCUUGAGGCGUGGCUUCCGGAGCUAACGCGUUAAA